GCGUUAUGGCCCCCACCUGAAAAAAUAAGAUGUUGCUGAGAAAAAGCCAGCAGGGCUGGAACAAAGUGUGAAAAAAGGAGCUGAUCUGGGGGCAAAGAAUCGCCCUUGGCGUCAUGGAUCACUGCUUUUCCUCAAAUUAGAAAAACGAGGCCUGAGCUGAGUGCAACUGUGAGCUUGUUCCUACAGCUAGCAGAAAGCAAGGAAGUUCUUAGUGGCUCUUAGGACAGAGCUGUUUCCAAAGUGGCCUUUGAUCAGGUCAGCUACAGCCUGGAAAAGAUGGGCCAUGUGGUCAGAGAUGCCCUGCCACAGCUGCUCAAACCCUACAUCUGCAGACCUGACCGUGUCUUCAGGAAGAAAAGGCCGUGAGGAACCCUUUUGAGGCUACUUUGGAAAUCAUUGCAACAAACAUUUGGAAUCUUCCAGCAUUUUUCUACAUAGGUUACUGAGUGCUCUGUUUUACCCCAAGCCACAGCUGACAAGAAGAGCUACCAACAGCAUACUAACUUGUUGUGUAGAGCUAAGAGUCUCUAGAAAUCCCUUUGGUGCUUUUCAAAGUCAUCUUCAGGGUGCAAUAGAAAGGUUUGACAGCAUUGAGUGAAACUGACCCUUUGCUCCCCUGCCAAUCAAUAGUCAAGGCAGAGAGUUUCUGGAAUAAGAUCCUGAAGAGCGCUACCACCAUACGGGGCAGGCCUGCAGCUCUAGCACCAGCUCCUUUGCUGGAGGCCUACAGAGUUUGAAGAGGGCUGCCGCUAGCUCCUCCUCUAGCCCUGGCCCUACAAGGGGAACUGGCUCCCUGCUGCUUUUCCCUCCUACAAGGAACAGCCUUUCUU
Long non-coding RNA from Bos taurus (domestic cattle), 830 nucleotides. The record is from Ensembl. NCBI's taxonomy places the organism in Eukaryota, Metazoa, Chordata, Mammalia, Artiodactyla, Bovidae.